AUACGGAGGGUGCAAGCGUUAUUCGGAAUCACUGGGCGUAAAGGACACGUAGGCGGGAAGCCAAGUCUGAUGUGAAAUCCUACAGCUUAACUGUAGAACUGCAUUGGAAACUGGUUACCUAGAGUAUGGGAGGGGGAGAUGGAAUUAGUGGUGUAGGGGUAAAAUCCGUAGAUAUCACUAGGAAUACCUAAAGCGAAGGCGAUCUCCUGGAACAUUACUGACGCUCAGGUGUGAAAGCGUGGGGAGCAAACAGGAUUAGAUACCCUUGUAGUCC
Molecule: ribosomal RNA, 274 nt
Filed under: uncultured bacterium
Lineage: Bacteria
Description: partial 16S ribosomal RNA
Rfam family: Bacterial small subunit ribosomal RNA
Source: RNAcentral